AUGGCUUCAGAGGUGGGCAGUAAUCAAAGCCUAAACCAAUCAGUGCUGGUCCUGUCCUUGGCCUGGACACCUGAGGGUGGAGUGGAGAAGAAAGAGAGGAAGGACUCUAGGUUUGUGUCUCUCUCUCUGCUCUAUGGCUUGGCCAAGGAAGCGUGUUGCCCUGAGGAUCUGCGUGUGACGCUGCUUGACAAACCGCCCUUGAUUUUUGUGUGUUUGCUGGUUGCAGGAUUUUGUAUAUCGGCAGCCAAGAAGCCUCAGGCUCUGGAUCGCUAUGUUCUUCUGCUUUCUCUUUUCAAGGACUCCGUUAAAACCUGUAUUGCAGCCAGACAGACAGGGCCUUCCAGUAUCCUCCUGAAGCUUAGGCCUUCUCUUCUGUACCCUUUUCUCCCUGGCAUCUCCUAAAAGCAGGAAACUUCCCUGCAAGGUGUGCCGAGACUGUCCCAGACACACAGAACAGCAAGCAUCUCAGACCACAGGACUCUGCCUCAGAGUCUCCCAAAAGUUCAAUAGCACCAAGCAACAAAAUCUGGCACCCUCGCUUGCACAGCAUAGGGUGACACAAGCUCCCCCAUGCUGCGGCCUCACGGAACAGGGGCACACACCUGUGAUCACAGUUUCUUGCGACUCGAAAGAGAAGCUUCUUGAGAAUCAAAAGCCCAAGCAACACUGAGCCACUUAACAAGACUCUCUCAAAAUAAAAAGGUUUGGGGAUGUAGCUCAGUGAUAGAGAGCUUGCCCUGCAUGCACAGGGCCCUGAGUUCAAGCUCUAGUCACACACACACACACACACACACACACACACACACACACAAGAAAUCCUCAUGGAUGUGUGCAGAAGUGCUGGUACAAAGCCAGGUGUGGUAGCCCUCACCCACAAUCCCAACACUCUGGAGGCUGAGGCAGGAGAAUUGCAGCAAGUUCACCCUAGGGUGUAGAAUUGCUGAGCUGACUGAGUUAAGUUUCUAAACCUCUUAAAUUGGCACAUCCAACCGCUAUAGACUCUAAAAAUUUAGAGUUUUGAUUCCAGUCUUUCUUAAAAGAUGUAGAGCCUGGAAGUGGGUUGUUUUUAUCAUCUUGAUUACCCUACUUUUAAAAUAGUCAGGCAUGGUGGUUCAUGCCUAUAAUCUCAGCACUCAGAAGGGUGAGGCAGGAUGACCCCCAUGAGGUUAGGGCGAGGCUAGGCUACCUAGUGAGUUUAAGACCUUAUCUCCAAAAAAUAAAAUAAAAUAAAAUAAAGAGGGGCAUCAGCUCCAACACAUACCGGAACACCCAGAGCAGCCACCUGGCCCGCUCAGCCACACACACUGCCAGCUGUUGCUAUGCUUAAUCGGGCAAGCAGCCACCUGGGGACAGUGUAGCAGUGCACCCUGGCCCUGUCCGAAAUCUUGCCUGGGAUAAUGAGCAGAGGUCUCCGGGCUGUGAAAGCGGAAAGGCCCUCUCUUUUGUAAGGCAGCCCCCAACUGCAAGCGGACCAAAAAGGGAAGAACGAAAUAAAACAGACUUUGUCUUAUUAGCCUGGCACACAUGCCUGGUGAUCGCUGGCUUAGCUGGCAAACUGCAAAGGCCUCGAUGGGAGACUCCACAUGCAACAAGUGGCUGUCGCUAUGGAAACAGCUCAGAUGAACCCCAAGAACGAAGGACCUCGCCAGGGAGAUG
Long non-coding RNA from Chinchilla lanigera (long-tailed chinchilla), 1656 nucleotides. NCBI's taxonomy places the organism in Eukaryota, Metazoa, Chordata, Mammalia, Rodentia, Chinchillidae. The record is from Ensembl.